Ahaetulla prasina is the source of this 862-nucleotide long non-coding RNA. RefSeq lists it as uncharacterized. The transcript has 2 exons. The record is from RefSeq and is a predicted model, not a curated record. Lineage: Eukaryota; Metazoa; Chordata; Lepidosauria; Squamata; Colubridae.
AACAAAUUUUACAUUUCACCCAUGGUGCAUGUGCAGGUGUGCGCAUGCGCAGCAGAGACCUGAAGACCAGUUGGCCAGUGGGAGGCGGAGCAUCCCAACACCGGCAGCGCGGCAAGAGGCUACAAUGAGGACUAACGCUAAUGAGGUUACCUAGUUUGGGGUAAUAAAAUGUCUGCAAGAAAAGAGCUGAAGAAGCUUCUUGGAUGAGAAGCGAAACGUCUUCAAAGGAAGAAAAAAAAAAGUCCAGUUGCCUUUUGAAAAAGCACCUUUGGGACCACCAUGGCCUGGAUGUAGAUCUCCACAGACGUCUGCAAGAAAACAACCAAGCUCGGAGAAUACCAAGGUCCUCUGCUGGACCUCUGUAAUCUGCAUCUGUCGACUCAGCCUUCCAGCCUUCCCAGGUUGGUAAAAUGAGGACCCAAACUGUUGGGGCCAAGAUGCUGACUCUGUAAGCUGCUUAGAGAGGGCUGUAAAGCAGUGUGAAGCGGUAUAUAAGUCUACGUCCUUUCCUUUCCUUUCCUUUCCUCUCCUCUCCUCUCCUUCCCAUCCUUUCCUUUCCUUUCCUUUCCUUUCCUUUCCUUUCCUUUCUUGUGCAAUGGUUAGAAUGCAGUAUUGCAGGCUUACUCUGCCCACUGCCAGGAGUUCGAUUCUCACUGGCUCAAGGUUUACUCAGCCUUCCAUCCUUCUGAAGUCAGUAAAACGAAGAUCCAGAUUGUUGUUGCGGGCAGUAGGCUGACUUAGGGCUGUAAAGCACCGCGAAGCCGUAUAGAAGUCUAAGCGCUAUUGCUGUUUUUAUUCUCCCAACCAAAUCCAGGGCAUUCUCCCAACAAGCAUCCCUGGGAGAUUUCAAGGGGCCUCUUAC